AACAGAUGGUGUAGUUAGGUUAGCAACAUUUCAAAUGCUGUAUAAUUUCGAAAAUUGUUUGUUCGUUUAGCGAUAUUGAAAACACUUAAUGAUGUUUUCAAGGACAUUGGUACUCAAAAAUACAAUUUUUGGAGUUUUCAUUUAUACAUUGUGUGUGUGAGUAUGGAUGUAUGUAUUUCCAGUUGAGCACCUAUAUUAGGAAAAUACUUUUUUAUAAAUUUUAUCACGUUUCACGGAAUUAUUUAAGCCAUAAUCGGUUUAAAAAAAUUCAUGUUAUAAAUUAAGUAUGUUUCAUUGUUUUAAGUGUUAUGAUCUAUCUCAUGUUUGAAUAUAGGUCAUUUUUCAUAAUCAUUAAGUCGGUGUCUCCAGCGUUUGCCAUGUUAAAAGGUCUGAGUUUCCUAUAUUUUCCUACUAAAAUAUUUGCUAAAAACUUAAAGGAAAGUCGACUAUGCAGUAAGCUUACUUGACAGUGUUAAUGACAAUGUGAUUUUAAAAUUAGAGUUGUCUAGUCAAUGCAUUAAUAUUGUAGAGUUUGGUAUGCCUGACAUUCGCUAUGGACUCAUAACAUAACAAAUAAAAAAAUGUGUGUGCACACAAAGAAAAUUCUAACAUUGGUUGUAGUUUUUUGUUCCCUGCUAUGAGCUGUCGGGAAAACCCACCAGCUUACAGCAACAUCCGCCACGUUUCCCAUCUGCGAUAAGUCCGGAUUUCACCCCGCAAGAAGCGAACUCGGAUCGCUUCGGUAGGAGCGAGUGGUGUGACCACUCAAAUCAAUUUGGUUAAAAAAAGUUUUGUUUGACUCAACAGUUAAGUGUUUUUGUGUUUUACUUUUAAGAAAAAAACAUAGAUUGUGUUGGAUUCUUCCCCCUACUACUGACAUAAAUUAUUUUAUAAAUAAGAUUUCGAUACAAGGUUAAAUAAGCUCAAUUCUUACACUUUAUUGCAUUGCACAUUCUCCGCUUGGAUAUCCUUGUAGUUGCCGCUUACUCCGCCACUAGCAGCACCUCCUGGAGUAGCUUGUAUCUGCUCUUCAUUAGCUAACUCUACACACGACUCUUCUGCAGUGUCACAUCACUCGGCACGUCCAUUUACAACGAUCAGUUUUGAAUUUACCAUUUGCCAUUAAAGCCUGCUAAAAAAUAGGCAGCAACAUCAAGAAAAACUAGCACAUAUAUUAACAGUGAUGGAACAUAUAAAUGCAAACACUGCAAUUAUGGUGAAACAGCCCCGUUCACGCUGGGAAUACUGAUUAUAAACAUUUUACAUUAUUUGUUGAUUGAUUACAAAAUAUAUUGAUUCCAGUAUAUCGCUGGAGCAGGUUGUUGGAAUAUAUAAUUGGAGGUCAAACUAGCCAUGAUACCCUGUGCCAGUGUGCCCUUCAUUACACAUUAUACUUAUUACCAUUAUUCCAGUUGAUGCGGGGUCUGGUGGUAAGGGGGUUUAGACGACCGUGUUAUGUUGUCAUGUUUUUAUUAAUAAAGGAACGAGUUGUCAGGCUGUAGUUAGCGUAACGCAUAGAAGACGAGGCAUAGAGAUGUGAUAUUGGGAUAUGGAUUCUCGUUGGAAGGUUCGUUUGCUCCUUGUUUUUCAUUUAUUUCAUUCCUUUUUAGCGAAUUUUAAAAACGUUCUAGGACAGCGGCCUUUGUAUUGUUGGCGAUGAUGUUUUGUCUUCGAAAAAACGGCUAUUGAAUUGUUGAAGUUAACUACUUCUCCAUGGCAAUAGCUACUGCGGGCGAAUAUUCCAUGGAUCAAGGGAACCGCCAGAGCUUCUAAUUUUAUUUUUUCAAUUAUAAUCUGAAUCUGUUUUUGAAAUACGUUAUUACAGUAGAAUCACUAACAAUAAAUAUGACAAGACAGGGAAUAUAUAUAUUUUUUUCAUGCCCAUGAAAACAUUUAGUAAAUGUAGACACUGUGUUUGUGUUGUGUGUGUAUUCUGACAAUGUAGAUUUUUAUUCUCCGCAAAAACGUUUUUGUGACAGCCAAAUUUGGCUAUUACUAAAAGACACUAUGCUAGGGUUCACAAAUGUGUGCUGCAUCAAGUCAAUGUCAGGUGUUCAUUGGAUGUAGACACAUUCCCCUUUCUCUCCGGGUCGCAUGUGAUUUGGUCAGUUGUUUUAUAGUCCUUAAAAAUAACCAGUGGCUUGAUUAUUUUGCGGAUUCAUAGGGUAGCAGAGUAGACUUGAAGCACACACACAACAUUGCCCUUGACAGGUGUAAACAAGAAUUGCUUACCCAAACACAUGCAAUCCUCCAAAAAAUGUGAUUUUGUUAUCAAUGAGAACUUUAAAAGGCUUGAUUAUAUAAAGGUAAGCAUAGUCUAGCCUGAUCUGAAAUGAAUCCUCUGAAUCGAAAUGAAUUGUGCUAUCCAAAGACAAUGUUGUAAAUGUUUAAAAAAUGGUACAAAUUUGCAAGAUUUUGUUAUUUUACAUUAGUUCGGUAAAUACACUUAAGGAAAAUUGUAAUUACUUGAACCGGGAAAUGUCACUUUAUAAUUACAAGAUAUAGUUUCAAGCUGGGGUUGACUGGCUACAAGCAGAGCAAAUUUGAGUACAAUUGUCUAGAACCUCUUUAACAUGGAGUGCCAUAUAUCGGCAGUGGGCGAAACUUACCGAGGACAUUGAUCAUGCCAUGGUAUGAGAGCACACAUAAGUUCUGUAUCAAUACAUACUACUGAUUUACACUUUAACGAGAAACCUUUUUGUAAAAUUUGUAAAUUUCUUUAUUCCAUGUACAAAUGUAUGCAGUUCAUAUAUUAAUCUCAGUUAAUAAACCUUGAAUUAAGGUGAUUAUGAAUGCGUAAUCGGACACAUUUAUGAAUGUUGAAUGUUUGUAAAUGUGUGUCGACACCUGGAGAUCUCCAGAGAACGACUGUUAUUGGCGCUUGUUCUCGCUUGUUCUCGCUUGUUCUCGCGAUCACGAGUGAUGCCGCCACCACAUCCUCGUUAGUUGGUGUCUCAUGAGCAUGCGCGACAAUAUCGCAGAUAUAACAAGCAUUCGUGACGGAGGGAAGUCAGCCUGAGGAUGGCGAAAGUACCUUGUGAACUUUGCCUCAAUGAGCUGAUGAAAGAAUGGUUGGGAAGGGGGGGGGGGGGAGGAGGAAAAAAAACAGCUGAUUGUAUGGAAAUAAUCCCCAGCUCGUGCCCGAACAGUAGACGUGGCUGUGGUUGGAAAAGAACAACGCUGCUGACUGUGGUUGCGAUAAAGCACGGGCCAAGUUGUCGAGACGUCUGCCCGCUAGCACGUGACUAAACAAGGCGCAAACAAAACAGCAGCGGUGCAUUAACCGAGUCUCACCAGCAGUUAGAGCUGGCUGCUCCGUUUACAGCUGUGUUCACAGCUUAUCGGUUUUAAUUAGUACUUUGUUCGUCCACAAGAGUGACCGGCUGUUAAAUAGUAUAUAUACUACCAAGAAAGUGGCCAGCAAGGAAAAAUUAUUCCAUCCCACUAAUAUAUACUAUUUUUAUUUUAUGUGAUAAGUUAUAUAUUUUUAACAUGUUAACAGGCCAUGUUCACCUCAUGUAUGACACUGGACUGGGUCCCUGCAUGUGUGUAGCCACCAGUUCGAUUCAAACAGUCGAGAUCUUAUCAAGACAAGGACCACUAGCAGGCGCAAGAGGCAUCAACUCUACGCGGAACACUGCCCUCACCGGGGCAUUCCUAUAUGAGGAGCAUGUCUUUGGCCCCCCUACCUCCAGCUCACAACCACCAGCUGUACUAGCCUUACACCCUACAUGGGCCGGCUCCAUCCACCGAAAUCCCAGCCCCAUACAACCAGAGCCUAGAUCAGUCGGGGGCGGUGAAGCCCGCAUCAGAAUAAGAUACGCUUCUUCCAAUUGCAUUCGGGAGAUUGGUUAGUGCCCCGGCUAUGAUGAGAGGCUGAGGCUACUCAUCCCUGGGUCCUGUCUUGGAUAGGUACUAGAGCUGGCGACAUCUCCGUCUCCUCAAACGACUGUCACCUUCCCACACAGGAGCCAGACCCACUCCCGACCAUAAAUUUUAACGCAACUGUUUUCCAACCCGAAGGUCGGUAUCCUUCACAGCUCCACCCAAAUAUGCACCCUUUAGGGUAGAUAAGUUUUAAACUUCCAGGUAAAGUAAAUUAAGUCUGAACUGUCAAGGGAUUACUCCCCCAUUUGAUCAGAGGCUAGGGCUACCAACCCAGCAUAGUCACCACCUUAGCCCCUGCCUCUCAUCUAACCAGACAGUUGGCUGUGUCCUUAGACCUUAGACCUUAUCAGCACUGCUGGCACCUAACAAUGGGUUUUUGACAUAACAUGGUAAUAUAUUUAGAUAUUUAUUAAAAAUUGAAAUAUUUAAGGAAUUCAAGAUUAAGGGGCCCGCCGAGUCAGCGGUGUGCUUGUGUCGGUGAGGCGGGACGAGUUGGUACUUCUAUUGCGGUAUCGCCUCUGAGAGCAAGGCUGUUGGCGAGCGGGAGGCCUAAGAUGUCCAAGUUCUGUCCCUGCCCGAACACGCCCGAAUAUUCACCUUCGGCCAACCUCGGGUUUAUUUAUAUAUAUUUCUCUGUUUAUUUUAAUGUAGCUAUACUAACCUAACUAACCGUCCAUAGUGUUUUAAAGUGUUUUAAUGUAGCUAACCUAACCGACCACUUUAAAAUUUGAAUUCAUUUUUCCUGCGCAAAAAUAAAACAAAUCCAUAGGUUGGCCGAAGGUGAAUAUUCAUGCGUGUUCGGGCAGGGACAGAACUUGGACAUCUAAGGCUUCCUCAGGCGCGCAGGGAAGCUAUAUUAUAUGGCCGAGAAAUGAAGAAUAGGACGUAAUGCAUACCCCUUGAGUGCUAUCAAGAAUAUACCGGCAGGGCGAACACGGUUUUGUUUAUCGCCCGUCGUAGGUAUUUCGCGUCAUCGGUAUGACACUUCCCCACUAAAAGCGAGCAUGGAUUAUUUUUCGCCUUCUGGAAGACGCCUCACCCACGACAGGCCCGCCAUACAUACGGCGGGAUGGUUUACCUGAGGACUCAUCAUAGCCGUCAUAUGCAGAAUCUUCGUCGAAGGGAGUGGAAGAAAACGAGAAAGCAAGGUAUGAUUAUGCUUACAUAUAUCUUAUUUAUUGUAUAUAUAGUAUUUUAGGUUAUAUAGAUAUAUAUUUAUUGCUCAUUGAAUUUAUUUGGUUGCUUAUUUUAUAAUCCUGCAAUUAAGUCACAUUCCCCAAAUAAGUGUCAACAAAUGCAAACUAACCUAUAAAUGGUUUCAUGUGCUGUUAAAAGUAGUUUCUUGAUGACGUAGGAUGUUUGUAAUAACGCUAUUGUUGUUAAAACUUAGGUAAUAUUCUAAUAAAAUCUAUAGACAAGCAACUACAUAACCUGAGCAUGAACUAAUUAUAUGAAACUAUUGAGACACAAACCUACUUGUGUUUAUUAUUUAAGAUAUAAAAUUAAUACGUGCAAUGCAUGAAAAUGUAUCAUAUUUGAAAUCAGUACUGUUAACUUGUUUUAGAUGCGGGUGAUCUGAAAGGGUUGGAGGUUUAAUACUUCAUGUCCAGCAAAUAAUUCGAAGGCGUCAAUGUAACAGACGGAGAAUGUAUCGCCUAUAGCCGGCAGUUACGAGACAGCUUGAACUUAUUUGAGCUGCGGGGAGUAUUUAUUCAUUCAUUCAUUCAUUCAUUCAUUCAUUCAUUCAUUCAUUCAUGCACUCCGUUUAGUCCCAAAUUAGGGACAUGGAGCAAGUUAAAUACAAUUUUAAUACAACAGAAGUUAAAUAUAAAUCAACAAUACAAAUCAUACAAUCAUAUUACAAAUGGUUCAAAUAAUAUAAAUUGACUGUAUAUAAACCUAUAUCAGUUAUAAAAUAAAUAAUAAAAUACACACACACAGUAGGGCUAUAAUACAAUCAACACCAAGCUAUAAUUAUGCAGAAAUCAGAAUUAAAUUUAUACAUACUAAAAUUGGUGAUCCAAAUAUUCAGUAAUAGUAUAAAAGGUAUGGGUAUGGAGAAAUUCCUUUAAUUUUUUUUUUAAAUAACCAACUGUUCUGAAAACAGUAGUCCACAACUCUUUUUUUUUUGAGUUUGGAGCUGUGUGAAGUGCUGAGACCACAUCUUGGUCAGCAAAGCCAUUGUUUACCAGUGCACUCUCAUAGGCCUAUACAUAUUCUAGAAAUUAAAAUCUUUUUUAUAAGUUUUAAACGUAGUUUUAUAGAUAAUUUGAAUGGCUUAUUAGGUUAGGUUAGCGAAAAUAUGUGAAAUAUUUAGACUUUGAAAAUAUUUAGAUUCCUGAAACAAUGUGUAUUAAUCAAAAAAUAAACCUCAUACUUCAUUUAUUAUUCACAAUAUUGGGAGCCAAUGCUUUAAAUGAUCACCCUUCAAUUUGUGGGAAUUCAUUAGUCUGGAAAAGUUAGUGUUUACAUUGGUUUCAUUAAGCUUAUUGCUUUGACUGCCAAUAACUUAUGUAAUAAAAUUCAAAUUAUUAAUUACAAGUGUUAGUAGCUAUAAGGUUUAGCUAAGUUUUUGUGCUGACAGUAUGCCAGACUGCAGCGGGUAAUUGUGUGUCACAGGUCAGCUAGCUGCUAAGUGGAGACUUCGCAACUCAACGGAUGAGAUACCUGCAGACCUUCGAAGAACAAGAGAGCGUGCAGAGACCAUAAGUGAUUUCAGCCUUGUACCGAGCCACAUCUCCCGACUCCAGUAAGCAACGCUGAGGCCAGUUCUGCAGAGGAGCGGCAUACUCCGGUCCACUGCAGCGCCCGCGACCGUGUGGAGUCGUGAAGGACCGCCCUUUGACAGCAGGGCGCUCAGUAGCGUCUUGUGCUGUGUUCAGCAACAUGCUGAGCCACUACAGAAUAUUGGAACCAGAUGUGAUAGUUGGCGAACCAAUAGAAAGUCUUGUAGGUGAUGCUGGAGAACCUGCGGCCCAGGUUGUUGAGCAUCACUUUCAGAACUAAGCCAGGCAGUAUUUUACAUUACCACCUUUAAUGUUUUCCUGUUUUUAACCUCAUUAGACACAAUGCAAUAAAUUACCAAUGAUUACUUCCGUGUUUGUCAUGUUUAUUGUACAUGGUGAAGAUAACACUUUCGUGUGAAAUACCAAAUCCAUAAUGCUAUUGGGAACACAAGCGCUGUAGUGCCUGGAUUUUUCGAUGCACUCUUCUAUUAAAAACUAUGUUGACAGGUUGCCGACACUGGCCCAAUAGUGGUAGUCUUUAUGAAAAUGUUAGUAGGUGAUGCUAGCAUUACAGUUAAUAGAAAUGUCUGUUAAAAAUAACAUUAUCUGUAACAUAUUUUGUUGUAAAUAACUGUAAAGUUUUUUCUUCUACUGUGAGAGACUUGCAGAAUUUUUAUAUUUACGUAUUUUAUCAAUAUGACAGCAUGUAAAAAAGAAAAUAUUUUCAACUGAUGAAAACCUAAACAUUUUAAAGUGUGUGAAUGAGCACAAAGGCACCAGAGUGUUACUUGCUAAUAUGUUAGGGAUGCCUGUAACAAUUGUGAAUAAUCUUGAAAUCAUUGAAGGAACUGGUGCUCAGUGUGGUGGUUUUCCAAAGAAAAUUUUUCGUGCAGGUGUCUGAUGUUACUAUGAAUUGUUAAUUAAAGUAUGUACCUGUAUGUAUGCUUACCUAUACUCUAUACAGAAUGUAAAUAUGGGACUCUAAUGUUAAUUAUUCUAUUUAGAUGUGCUUCACAUUCUUAAUUAAUAUCAGAGCAUGGUAUGUUCAAGUAUUAUAAUAAUACAGUUCUCUGAGCAAAAAAUAACUUCAUGAAACAUUUCCCACAGUUUAUAUUUACAGACACUCCCUUGAAUAGUGUAAACAUGUGGUUUGACUGUAUACAUUUACUUAUACUUUCUCAUUUCAUGGCAUUAUUGUACAUAGAUUUAACAUUACUUAUAACAAGAAUAAUAUGACAUUUUUUGUGUACAUAUGCAUGUGCCAUUCUAAAAUAUAAUUUCUAAUGCAGUGUUUCAUUUCAAAAUAGUAUGAAAUUGUCUAAGAGUUUUUUUGUGUAAUUGUAUAAUUUGAAGGGUUAGGAAACCCAAUCAAUUUUCCAUUAAUAUGAAAUGUUUUGCAAAACAACUAUUUACAAAUUAGAGAGGAAAUGUAUAUACUUAUUUUUGAACCCUAGAUAUUCACCUACAGUAGAACCCCUUUUUUACACUAUUGAAAGGGGUGUCUGAAAAUGUUGUGACAUGCGAGAAAGUGUAAAAUAAGGGAAAUGUAUGAAGAAUCCUUUUCUCUCUCGGAGAACUGUGAUAUUAUAUUACCUAAACAUAUUGUAUCCUGAUAUACACAUAAUUAUUCAUUAUUAGUGUCGGAAGCAAAUAUAAAAAGUAUAAUUAUACACUUUAGUCCUAUAUUUACAUUCUGUAGUGUGUAUAGGUAAGCAUAAAGUCUAUGUACAUACUUUCAUACUUAAAUUUGCAAUUCAUAAUAUGACAUUUACAGGUUAAUAAUAUUACCAAAAAUGUCAUAAAACAUAAGGAAAGUGUACUAAAGUAAAAGUUAUAUUUUUCAAAGGACAAAAAAUACAGCAAGGUUUCUCAAAAAUUUUUUAAAAAAUGCAAUUUCAGUCAAUCUACACUUCAUAACCAUCACCAUCAUCUCCAUCAGGUUGCUUUUCCUUCAUGUGCAAACUGACAAUAUCAUCAAGAGACUGUUCUUCUUUAGUUUGCACAUGACUGUCAAUGUUGGCAUGAAUUUUCUUCGUCUUCUUCCUCUACACUGUCUUCUUGUUCCACUGUCCUCAUUAGUACACACUGUUCUAGAACUUGGAAAACCUACCUUUCUGAAACAAUUUGAAAUUGUUGUUGAUGUAACUUGUUUCCAUGCAUAGGCAAUUUCAUGCACUGCAUGCAGAACAUUGAUUUUUUUUCUUGUGGAUUUUUGCCAGCAUCCAAGAGUUAAAAAUGUAUUGACAAUCCUUUUCCUGUACUUCCACCUAAAGGCAUGUAUGAUGCUUAAGUCCAAAGGCUGAAGCUCACUGGUGCAGUUUGCUGGGGGAAAAAACAAGCUUUAUAUUCCUUUAAUUUAAAUCCUGAGGGUGAGCUGGGCACUGGUCAAUAAACAGCAAAAAUUUUCUCCCCUUAACACCAAUUGCUGCAUCCAGAGCAUGCAGACGCUGUCAAAUAUUUUUGAUGUCAUGUUGGUCUUUUGAUUUGCCAAAUAUUUUGUUGGCAAAUUUUUAUAUUUUUAAAACACCUUGGAUUCUGUGCAUUUCCUAUCACCAAUGGUUGAAGUGUUUCACUGCCAUCUGAAUUGAUCAUUAGCAAAACUGUGAGCCUUUGUUAACUAAAUUUACCACCAUGACAUUGCUCCCCUUUUAAACACAGUGUUUUGUCUGGGAGAAGAGAAUAAAACAACCUGUUUUUUCUGCAUUAAAAAUGUCCUUCGGGUCAUAUUCUUGUAUUUAUUUGUGAACUGCUCUUUUUUCUACACUUCUACUUUCUCCGCAUACUGCUUUAUGUACAAGGUUAUGUUGUUGAUUGAAACUGUUAAUGUAAUCAUUAAUUCCUAACUGCAUAGCUAUAAAUUGCGCCUUUUCUCUCAAGAAAACACUGUUUCUGGCUACAUUCGAGGCCCUUGCACCCACAAACCAUUCCUUCAAAAGUACUGCAAGUUACUCAUAUUUUGAUGCACGAAUGUAUUUUCUCUUAGAAAAACCACCACACUGAGAUGCAUUUUCUUCAAUCAUUUCAUGAUUUUUCACAAUUGUGUUGAGAUUGAAACAAAUGUACCUUUGUGCCCAUUCACGCACUUUAAAAAGUUGAGUUUUUAAUCAAUUGAAAAUGUUUUCCAUUUUUUCUAUGCUGCCAUCAGGUUAAAAUACGUACAGAUAAAAACACAGUUAAUUACUCACUGCAAAAAACCAACGCUUUCCCUUAUUCACAAUAUUAUUUUUGCCGACCACGUUAUUCUGAACAGAUGUUGACAAAGAUUUAAUACCGGAAAUGUAUAUAGUACGUAAUCCUGAUUGUAUAAGUAAGUGAUGAACAGUAGGAAUUCCUAUAAACUGUAGCGUCAACGUAGCGUGCUAACAUUUUCUUGACGUCUGCCUUUAUUAGGCCAGUGUUGGCAGCCUGUCAGCACAGUUUUUAAUGAAAAAGCACUUUGAAAAAUUCACGAGCUACUGCGCUAGUGUUUCCAACAGCAUUGUUGAUUUGUUAUUCCACCACUAUACUGAUAUCUUCAUAGGUAAGAUGUCCAUGACAAACAUGGAAAUAAGGAAGUUAUGUAGGUAUAUUGCAUAAACAAACAGCGUAAAUUGCGGGAAGCAGAUUAUAGGUGCGUUGUAAUCAACAGGAAUUUAUUGCAUUGCAUUUCAAUGAAGUUAAAACGGGAAAACUUAAAACGUGGUAAUGUAAAAUAGGGGUUCUACUGUAUUUAGGAUAUAAUUGCAGCUGCGACAUAAACUGUAAAUUAGUUCUUCAAUUUGUCAAACACAUUCACUUUAAAUAGCUUCUAUUAUACAAACCAUUAUAUUUAUUAUCUUUUUGAUUUUUAAUUCUUUUUAGUCUUAAAUUCAACAACAGUGCAUGAUUUUGACUAUUUUUCCAAAGACGUAACUAUCGCAUGGCAAAAGAGUUGCCAACUAUUUUGUUGUAGUCCAUGCUUGUAUCCUUUAUUUUUCACAACUGCUAAUACAUGUGACAAAAAAUACAAAUAAUUUUUUUGAUGUAAAAAAAAUUGUGUGUGCUUUGAAUUGACAACACAAUUUUUUGUGCUAUCAUUUCUCGUGGCAGUAGUAAAAUAAUUUGAUUACCUGCACGAUUAAAAUCGCUAGUGCUGUAUAGUUUUUGAUAGUGCUUAUGGAUGUUUUUACUGCAUUGUUAUUUGUUUUGAGUUGAAGUGCUGUAAAUGGUGCCUUUUUAAUUGUGUGCAUUAAUCAGAUAAAGUCAAUUUUAGUACAUGUUUUGAAAAAUAACUUAAUUGUAUCACCAUUUAGCCAUGUAUGUAGUUUAGAACUAAGUUAUUUUCUGUUGAACGUAACCAUAUAUCAAGAAAUAAUAAUAACAAUAAAGCAUUUGCAUUGAAUUUUUAAUAAACUUGACAAAAUACUUGAAAAAUUUUAUGUUAAAAAUUUAAAUAUGUAUUAAGCUACAUAGUUAAAGUGUUAAACAUAAAUGAUAUUUUCUCCUUCAAACUUUAUAUAAAUGUGCAGUAAUUAAUUCAGUGAUUCGUACUAAGUCCAAACAAAUCUAAUUAAAAAAUUGGCUAAUAAAUAAUUCUUAACCUAUAUAACAAACUUAAAUUACUAGUCAAGUUUGUAAUUAAAAUUUAAUGCAACUUAGCAUAUCUUAUUUUACGUAUUAACUUAAAAUACACAGUUAUUAAUUACCCAGUGUUUUUUAGUGAAAUCACCACCUAUUUAUGACAAGUCUAGAAAUUUUGUAUGAUAAGAUGAAAUAACUUUAUGUAACAUUGGGUCUCUUAUAUAAUACAGAGCAGACAUGGCAUAUGAGGAUUGGCAAAUUCGCAAAAUAUAGACCUAUUAAGGAAUAAACAUUACGCAUGUAAUGCAAGAGAGUUUGAAACCAUACAAACUAUUACCAUUGAAACAAACCUUCAUAUUCGAGAUUUGAUGUUGCUUGUGAACUUUAUUUGCUGUGAAAUUUGCAAGAUAAACCUCUCGAAAAGAUUAUUUUAAAAUGUAAACAUAUGAAAGAUUUCCAGCAUCAUGUCCCCUCCUGUGAGUUAACAUUUUGACAAAUGAAACUGCCAAUUGAAAAAAGGUAGCACACAGGGAACAGCUAACAGAAGCUAAGAAAUACCUCAUAAAGGAAAGACAUGGAGUGAAACUGUAGUUUUUUCACAGAUGUAUGCAAAUUGAAAAUGUGAUACACGUAAACAGUCUUCUAAAUGUUUGUGCGGUAGAUUGUAUUGUCAAAUUUUUUUCACUAUUUUGUUAGUUAUUCUGCAAUAUAAUAAUUUUUGUUAUGUAUCUUUUCAUGACUAAUCUAAUAAAAUGUCCAACUUAUAAAAGAAAAAUAAGGUAAACUGCAAUGAUCAUUGCUACGUAUCAGCCCCUUGUGGUGUAGUAACUUCUGGUGCUUUUUCUUGGUGAUGUUUGUAACACAGAUUUGUUUUAGGAAGCUUAGUAGCUUUGGGGAUAUAAGUUUCCUCAAAAUAAUGAUAUUUUGUGCAUAAUAGAUGGGUGUUGUCAAAAUACUUUUGAAAAUGGUGCUAUUAAAAUGUAAUCUGUUGUACCAAAUUUUCCUGAGGCACGUUUUUGCACUGUAUCAUUUGUUACUAAUUUACCCACAGUACAUUAAAAUUUUCUUGCUAUUUUUUAAGAACAUAAAAGUAAUGUUGGUUUGUUAAAACACUUGACAUGAAUGUAAAAAAAUAGCAAAUACUUCAUACUAGUUGUGUUUUAUGUCAUGAAAUAAUUAUUUAUUGAUCUAGUUUUAAUUAGCAAAUUUCAAUUGAUUAUAUUUAUUUUUCGUAAUCAGAGGUUAGUUUACGAUGGUGCCCUACAAUUAAAACUGUUGUGCUAUUUUUUCUCAGGCAAGGAUGUUAUUUACCAUUGAAAUGUCUCAUGUGUGAAAUAGCUAUAAAGUUGUAAGCUGUAUAUUUUAUUUUAAAUUUGUACAAAUAGUUAUUACAUGACUUCCAACUUUAAUUAGUAAUCAGAAAUUAACAUUUGCACAUGCUUGAUUAAAAUUUAAUUAUGCAUUGUUUAGUUGCUAUCAUGGUAACAAUUUGGUUGCAGUUACUUAAGUUUGACUGAAUUACUUUAGUUUUUUCACAGUUGACUUAAUAUCUUUUACACUCUGUAAAUUUUAUACUUACGUGUUUACAUAGUAUUACAAUUAAAAUUAACUCCUGCCCUCUGCUUUAAAUUUAAAAAUACAGAAAACAAAGCCCAGAAGAAAAAAAAAAUGUUUGUGAUAUAUAAAAAAGCUGGUUAGCAGUUUCUGUUAAGAGCCCUAUAAAUUAAAAUUGUCAUAUCAAAUUGGAAGGCUUACGUUUCCAUAAUUUUUUUUAAAGGCGGUUAAAAAUAUUGUUUUGCACAUACUUCAUAACUGUGUGUAUUUUUUCCUUGUGCCUGGCAGAAUAGGUCCACAAAUGUUUAGUUUUUAUUCAUACCGGUACCUGUUAAGAAGGUUUUAUCAUAGAUUAGUUGGAACAAUUGCAUUUAAUAGUUAUAUAUAGUAUAUAAAUAACAUUGUGAGGUAUUAUGUUGUUUUUUCUUUCUCGUACUGUCCACAUAUGUUGCAGGUCUUUUGUCUCAGGUGUUGCAGCAUUAUCUGUAAUUGUUUGUAGUGUUUUAUGUAACAUCCAUUACUCACAACAAACUUUUUAUUUCAUCGCAGAUAGAAAUUUUUUGUUAAUAUCUGAAAUUAUUAAUUUUGAUGUAAGCAGUCUGGUAAACUAACAAAUUAAGAAACACUAUUGGCCAUUUUUACAGUUUGGUAUUGUUUAAAGUUCUGUAGAGUAUUAUGUUGAGAUGUCAUAUCAUCUUAAUGUAAUUAGUUUUGAUUGGGAGGUUAUUUAUAAAAAAAAUUUGUAUACUGUAUUUUUUUGUAUGAAUUGUAAAUAAAUAGUUUAUACUAAUAAAGUUUAUUCUGACAGUGACGAGAAAAUCCUUAUCAUUAACUCCUGGUUUGUGUAGAUAUGUACCUGCUGGCAAUGGUUUCUUAAAUCAUCACUUCCAAGAUUCCCUCAAUAUUUUCCAGUUGGUUUAUUUCAAGGUUUUCAGUUUCCGUGUUUACAUAACUCUAAAGUGUUUCUUCCUUGUUUGGUUCCUGAAAAAUUUAAUUGUGGUUCAUACCGAGUUGUAUCUUCGACAUAGCUGAAGGCAUGGAUGUCAUUCAAAAAUCCUUGGGAAUAGUUUCCAAGGUGUCAAAACCACAAAUUAUGCUUAAGAGAGGAAACUGUGUUGAGACUUAAAAGAGAUUUUAAAAGUAACAGAUUUACAGUGGUGAACAAGAUGUUAUUUAAUGUGCUUCUACUAUUGAACAAUUUGAAUCUCCAAUGUUAUAGUUUGUAGUGAUACACUGGUAGUGAUAAAAAGUUUUAAAAAAAGUUUUGGUGGUGCUAGAAUAAAACUAAUGUUUGAUACGUUGUUUGAAGGAUUCUUGCAAUGAAGUAGUUUUAAAUCAGUAAGUUGAUGCUAUGGUUAAUACACCCACCAAAGACAAACUUAAAUUCGGUAUACAUGUAAACGUUAUGCACAUUUAACGUUUCCACAUGUUUCACAAUCAAUUUGUUAUGCAUGCAUAUGGAAAAUCACCUGCAUGUACCUGAAAUAAUUACAUUUAGAGAAAAUAGUUGUCUAUGAAGUGUGUACAAACUUUUAGAAUAAAUUAAUCUGCUGAUAACACUAAAAACUUUAAUAUAUAGUUUACCAUUAAUAUAAUUUCACAAAUCUACCUGAAUAUAUGCAUGGGAUGUCCUCUUAAAUUUGCUAGUCACAUAUCAUUAAAGAAAGGGUCAAUGAUGGCCUAUGUAAGGCGUGCUUGACUCUACCUUAGUUUAGUUACUGUCCUGUUCUGUAAAACUAAACAUUCCUAAGUAUAGUUUCACAAAAAAAAAAACUACGUGAAAAUUAUUUCAUUACGCAAGAUGAUUUUGUAAACAUACAAAACCAACACUAUCUAGGCCACUAUUGCCAGCUCUCGAAUCAAGGCCUAACACCCACCGCAAGGACUUGUAGCUCGAAACUGGUUAAUUUUGACUCAACAUUAGCGUUUCCAGUGGCUAUGUGCUUCCAGUUUAUUGCAGCAUUUUUUGUACGCGUAUUUUUCAUUUCACGCCACACCUUGAUAAGAGCAUUGCUCUUACUAUACUAUAGCAAGAAUGAGUGAUGUUAUAUUGUUAUACAUUAAAUGCAUCUGUAAUGAAUAAAUUUAUACGCGGCAAAACUUGUUCAAAAUAAGUUUGUAAGGUGUUUACAAAUACAUAACUUUAUUCCACUGGUCCACAGUUUUACCUGGCCCCAGUCCAUUAUAUUUACUUGUGACAGUCUAACACAUUUUAUUAAUGAGCUGUAGGCCUUGUGGCUUUAUCAAUUCGCUUCGCGCACAUUUUGGAUGUGCGAACAUGCAAGUGGCGAGUAGUUGGAAUUGUUGCAGGCUAGCUUUCACGUCUCGUGACAUUGCAACUUAUAUCAAAGCAAGAGGUCUAUUGCAUAUGAAACCAAAACUGUAAUGUUGAUUAAUAAAAGGGCUGGAUCUAACUAGUAAUAUACCUGUAUGGCAUAUGUAUUAAUAUAUCACAUUUUUUUAUGUUUGUUUAUGUUGUUUAUUGUGUUUUAUGCUGCUCAUGCAACCAAAAUAAAAUACCUAUUCUAUUAGACAUUGUGAUGGAAAAAUAACAGAAGGGGAGGUAAAACCAUGCACAGGUUUUCCCCCCUCCACGCUUAAGCUUACUAUGUCACCUUGGUUGUAGCCAGAUCUCUCUUUCCAAGCUCUACCAUCUCAUUUGCAUCUCGCGAACCUUUAUAAUUGUUGGUGUACAAUAAUGAGUGCUAUAUGGAGGUAAAUGCCUAUUUAUGCUGUAUACUGAUGUUCCAAUCACUAAAAUAAUUGGUUUGACAUAUUUAAUUCAUGUCUGUACAAUGCAGAGAAAGGAAAAUGUGCUGAUGAAAUAUACGAAGAUGAACAAAAUAUAAUUUUGAAACAAGUUGACGAAGUGGUAUAAACAAUUCAAGCGGCUAGUUACAAAUCCAAUUGUACCUAUUCAAAAUGACACUCAUUAACAAUAAUCUCUCUAAAUCUUGGUUUCAGAUUUGAAACUAAAUUACAGUUUCGGUUACUUAUUGAUGCAUAAAAUUAACGAAGAUGUUUGGAAAAUUUAUUUUAUUAGAUGAAUAAGUAUUACGUAUGGCCAUUCUAUGCCGCUGGAUUUAAUGUACCAUCUUAGAUCACAUGUACUAUGAAAACAUUCAUCUAGAUUUUUGGAAUGAAUAAGAACACAAAGUGACGAGGAAGCGGAUACUGAGAGCUGCCCGACUGCCCAGCUCAUUCACAGCAUUGUUGUGUGAAGAAAGUGAAGUUCCUGAUUUCGAUAUGUCUUCUCUUGAUUUAACAACACAUUUUCAUUUUAAUACAGGGAAAAAUUUCUUCACGGAUACACUAACAAACGAAAGCUUGACAUAUAUGGCUGGAUGUGUUGCGCAUCAUUUUAUAGUUAAAUAUUCUAAUCUAGGUGUUCCUAUGAAGAUAAGUAACGAGAAAGGAGAAACAUGGACUAAAUUUGUUUCACAUAAGCCAGUAACUCUCUCUGAAAAUAUUUUUCUAGAAUUUCAUGGAAAAUAUUUGUAGUAGAACUGGGAUUUUAGUUUCUUAAUGUAAUUAUUUUGGCUUGUACAGCAUUUAAGUUUUGAAGAAACGACUUAACAAUUUUUUUUUUUCAUAUAAAGGUUUUUAUUCAACAAAUGUUUCGCAAUCACAACGGAAUCCUUGUUUUAUUUAAAAAAAAUUUAAAUUCACGCUUGUUAAGAGGUCAUUGUGUUUUGGAGAUGCCUGCCUAUACGUAUAUUUAAAAUAAUAAACAUGAUGCAGAGCUAAUAUGUGAAGCACAUAAUAAAAUAGAGGAUUCCAGGGAUGUACUCAGGGCCGGUGCAAGGUAAAUUGGCGCCCCAGGUGAAAAACCUUAAUCUCCCCCCCCCCCCCCCCCCCCCCCGUGCGGCCGGACACCCCAAAAAAUUUUUUCCUUUCCUCAAAAUGCAUCACGUAACAAUCAAAUGUAAGCAGGUUUUUUUUUUUUUUUUUUUUUUUUUUU
Bacillus rossius redtenbacheri is the source of this 16668-nucleotide long non-coding RNA. RefSeq lists it as uncharacterized. The record is from RefSeq and is a predicted model, not a curated record. The transcript has 2 exons. Lineage: Eukaryota; Metazoa; Arthropoda; Insecta; Phasmatodea; Bacillidae.